Molecule: ribosomal RNA, 271 nt
Filed under: Shigella flexneri
Lineage: Bacteria; Pseudomonadati; Pseudomonadota; Gammaproteobacteria; Enterobacterales; Enterobacteriaceae
Description: partial 16S ribosomal RNA
Rfam family: Bacterial small subunit ribosomal RNA
Source: RNAcentral
AAAUUGAAGAGUUUGAUCAUGGCUCAGAUUGAACGCUGGCGGCAGGCCUAACACAUGCAAGUCGAACGGUAACAGGAAGCGCUUGCUGCUUCGCUGACGAGUGGCGGACGGGUGAGUAAUGUCUGGGAAACUGCCUGAUGGAGGGGGAUAACUACUGGAAACGGUAGCUAAUACCGCAUAACGUCGCAAGACCAAAGAGGGGGGGCUUCGGGCCUCUUGCCAUCGGAUGUGCCCAGAUGGGAUUAGCUUGUUGGUGGGGUAACGGCUCACC